GAAAAGUUGAGCCGAGCCAGAGCAGAGCCGUGCCGCCGUGGAGGGCUGGGAGAUCCCAGCUGCUGCUCAGCCCGCACUGACCGAGCCCGGCGAGUGGCCCUGCACUGCGAACAAGGAAGAAGGGCGGAUAUGUGAGGCAAACACAGCAAGUUUGCUUCAGAAGAAAUGACUGGUACUCCUGCUACAGGCAGCACAUUGGGGAGAGGAGCAAGGAACUCCUUCAUCCUGGCAUUCCUGCAAAACAGGUGGCGUAAGAGGUUCUGCCAUGCUUGGAAACACCAUGGGCAACAUUUGCUGGCUUCUUGCAUUUUGGCUAUGAAGGAUGGAGAAUGGAGCCUCUGCAGGGUGCUCAGAGGGAGCAACAAAAAGGAGAUGCAGAGCCAUGGCUAUGCUUUAUUCAAAAACCAGUUAGUUAAAAGUGCAUUGGAGGGCAUCUGAAAUUUUGUCUCUGGCAUUUGUGUCCGUGCAGUUAUCUCAUUUGGGUGUGUCUGCCUAGCUGCCAAAUCUGGGAAGGUAUGUUUGUCAUCGUGGUGGGAGAGCGAAGGGUGGAGGGAGCUGUGGGUUCCUGCAAGACAGAUUGCAAUUCUGUGCUUUGUUAAGACAUUUGUUGAUGGUUUUAGUACAGCUCACCUGUCAGUGCCAGUAUCUGAGGUCGUUCUGUCCACCUCUCUGCCUGGCCUUGGCUGCUGUUACCCACAUCCUUUCCUGGAAUUCACACCCCUAACCAGCAGCUGUUACUAUAUUGGGCUUUUGACCUCCUGAAAAUGGGGUCUCAACCCUUUCUGUUCCCUCUCAAGCAACUCAAUUCUCAACUGAAAAAGAAAAAAAAAGGGGGGAUAAGGUAACCACCGAUGAAACAACAUUUUUAUUUCAAAGAUCAAUCAGUUCUAAAAGCCAACAUCCUGUUUUGGGUUGGCUUUACACAUCAGGUCUGACACUUGGCAGCCCAACAGGAAGUGAACGUGAGCAGCGUUUUUCUAUGGGAAGCUCGCUUUUUGAACCCACGCUUUGCUGAGUGUGCCCCGAGCUGUCUGCCCGUGGCCCUCAGCACUAAACCAGCGCCAUGGACGCUGAGCCUCACCCUCUUCUUCAGGGACUUAUCAGCAGGAAAUGAACUCAGCUGGAACGCUUCGUACCAUUGACAUUUUUGUGCUCGGGUCUUGCAGCUGCAGCGAAGCACUUCUGAGAGCACAGACGCACAAACACACACGUGCCAACACCCACACAGACACACGGACCAGCGUGCCAGGCUCUCUGCACCCCUGGGAACUGAUGUCAGUGGGAAAGUCCUGUUACCAAAGGGAAUUAAAUGGAAGGAGUUUGCGAGUUUUUCAGAAUGUUGUACCCAGAGGAAGCUUGCCUUGCCACUGCCUGUGUGGAAGCUGUUAAAAAAGUAAAAGGACUUUGGCUGAACACCAGGCCAGCAUUGUAAUAACUUUACCUAUCUUCUAAAAAAUACACCAAGGAAAGAGCCACAAGCUAAACUCCCAACCAAGGUAAUUCAGGAAGUUUGAGAGCAAGAACAAAUAAUUGUCUUAUGCACAAGCAUGCAACACCUCUCUGCUCAGCAAAGGUUUGUGCUGUGUGCCACUUGUAGCAGCAGCAGGGCUGAUACCUCCUCAGGAGAGAAUCUAACCAACAUUUUUAGAAACAAUUUGCAUGGUGGGUCUCAUGUGGCACCAAGCGUUGGCACUUCAAAGCACUGAGCACGUCAGCUUUUGCCAGAGCUGACUCACAGGUCAGUCUCUUCUGUCACAGGCAGCGGCAAGUGACUUUAAUCACCCUGGCUGUCAUUUGGAUGCGGAGAGCAGGCCUGGCUCAGGAAUCAAGUGCUGCACACAGCGAGACUGCACAGCCCCCGAGUGCUAUCUGCACACAGAAAGGUUUCUGUUCACAGACAGACUGCAUGAGCUAGACAGGAAGCCUGGAGCAGAGCACAGCUAGGCUGUGUCUCGGGAGAAACCGUGCCCAGCCCAUGCAGCAACCAGGCUGGCUGCAGAGAGAGCUGGCUCAGGGAAAACCAGCUCUGAAGAGGGCAGACGAAACAUGACACAAGCCAGGAUGGAAACCUUGCCCACUUUCUGACUAAAAUACAUCUUCUCCAGGGACACAGCCUGAAGCUCAUCACAUGUAAAACACACUGAAAUUAACAUUGUUCCAUGAACUCGACCUUGGAGGAAGUAAACUUGGCUCCAUUUAUGGUGAGAUAUUACUGUCUAUUUACUGGCUUUAAAAUGCAGCAAAGCACAUGAUUUGGAAAGGAGAACUAGUAGUGCCUACCAAUACUUUCUUGACCCUGUUAUGCAAGGAUGCUGAGAGCCCCUAGACAAUAUUGCAGCACAUCAGAGAGAAUCCUUCUCCUUUCUCUGAGAUCUAACUGAGGAAGUGAGAGAGCCUAGUGCCUGCACAUCAGGGCUUUAGAGCAUCCUUUUUUCUUUUUUUUUUCCCCAUGAAAAUUUCAGUUUUUCCUGAGCAUCUCCAGGAGAAGGCAGCAGCAGAAGGCUCUGUCUGUCCUGGAGAGGAGACAGGUUCUAACCAUGCUCUGCAUGCAAGGAAAAUAGUGGAGGAAAAAUUAUUUUGUUCUGCUUGUACAGGACAGCAGAUAAAUAGCAGGGAAUGGAUGGGUGGUGUAUUUUCCUUGCUGAGUUCAUCCCAACAGGAUGAUCCACCUGGCCUGCUAUAAGCUGUGGGUGCUGUGGAGCACCUGGGGCAGAUGGUGGUCACAGGGCAAGUUAAUUUGGCUUCCUCAGUGCUACAGUGCUAUUUACAUAGUGUGGACAUACUUGGACCCAGGUGGAAAUAUGAAAACCCACCCUCUUUUAGGACAGGUUGAAUCAAGUCUCAGUAUUACCCCAGUUUAAAGCAUCUCCUUAUACAAACCUUUAUAAGGUUACUGAGCACAAAGUGACAGAUAAAAUAAGCUAAGUGUUUGUUUGGAAAAGCCUUCAGUGGAAGGUGGAAUGGUGUUCAACUGACAAAACCAAGCCUUGCAGAGGCAAGGGCUUUGACAUACACCCAGCAGUGUGUAAGAGGUAACACCUGAGCUCUGCCUAGUGGCAAAUCAUUCUGUGGGCUUUGUAGCCCAAAAGAGGUAGUCCCUGCUGCUGUGAUGAAAGGAUAAGGUUUUCCCAAGGGAAGGCUGGGCCUCAAAUACCGGUGGUGGCACAGAACCAGCCUUUGAGGCUGAUUUAGCAGCGGGCGGGGAUAGUGGGGCCGAUGGUGCCACCCCUUGGAUAGCAGAAUAACAUAAUCAUUAUGGCUGGGAAAGAACUUCAGGAUCGCCGAGCCCACCUGUUAACCCAGCGCCCCGUGCUCACCAUU
Motacilla alba alba is the source of this 3321-nucleotide long non-coding RNA. RefSeq lists it as uncharacterized. The record is from RefSeq and is a predicted model, not a curated record. Lineage: Eukaryota; Metazoa; Chordata; Aves; Passeriformes; Motacillidae. The transcript has 3 exons.